UCUCGCAUCGAUGAAUAACGCAGCGAAAUGCGAUAAGUAAUGUGAAUUGCAGAAUUCAGUGAAUCAUCGAAUCUUUGAACGCACCUUGCGCCCCUUGGCUAUUCCAAGGGGCAUGCCUGUUUGAGUAUCAUGAACACCUCAACUCUCAUGGUUUGCCAUGAUGAGCUUGGACUCUGGAGGUUUUGCUGGUCUCUGGUCAGCUCCUCUCAAAUGAAUCAGCUUGCCAGUAUCUGGUGGCGUCACAGGUGUGAUAACUAUCUACGCUUGGGGCUGUCUGCCAGGUAACCUCCAGUGAUGGGGGUUUUGUGGGGCCUAAAAACUGCCCCUCUUCUAAGGGAACGCUUUUUGAACGUUCGAUCUCAAAUCAGGUAGGACUACCCGCUGAACUUAAGCAUAUCAUAA
RNAcentral lists this small RNA (402 nucleotides) under uncultured Tomentella. Its description in RNAcentral is "eukaryotic LSU rRNA". The stretch from base 1 to 130 matches the Rfam family "5.8S ribosomal RNA", at positions 26 to 154 of the family's 154-position model. The record is from RNAcentral. Lineage: Eukaryota; Fungi; Basidiomycota; Agaricomycetes; Thelephorales; Thelephoraceae.